UGGGGAAUUUUGGACAAUGGGGGCAACCCUGAUCCAGCAAUGCCGCGUGAGUGAAGAAGGCCUUCGGGUUGUAAAGCUCUUUUGUCCGGGAAGAAACGGUUGUCUCUAAUACAGAUGGCUAAUGACGGUACCGGAAGAAUAAGCACCGGCUAACUACGUGCCAGCAGCCGCGGUAAUACGUAGGGUGCGAGCGUUAAUCGGAAUUACUGGGCGUAAAGCGUGCGCAGGCGGUUGUGCAAGACAGAUGUGAAAUCCCCGGGCUUAACCUGGGAAUUGCAUUUGUGACUGCACGGCUAGAGUGUGUCAGAGGGGGGGUAGAAUUCCACGUGUAGCAGUGAAAUGCGUAGAUAUGUGGAGGAUACCGAUGGCGAAGGCAGCCCCCUGGGAUGACACUGACGCUCAUGCACGAAAGCGUGGGGAGCAAACAGGAUUAGAGUACCCUGGUAGUCCACGACCCU
RNAcentral lists this ribosomal RNA (458 nucleotides) under uncultured Pseudomonadota bacterium. RNAcentral describes it as "bacterial SSU rRNA". It matches the Rfam family "Bacterial small subunit ribosomal RNA", at positions 355 to 803 of the family's 1533-position model. Lineage: Bacteria; Pseudomonadati; Pseudomonadota. The record is from RNAcentral.